GACGAACGCUGGCGGCGUGCUUAACACAUGCAAGUCGAACGAGGCCCUGCCUUCGGGCAGGUGAUCUAGUGGCGAACGGGUGAGUAACACGUGGGCAACCUACCCUCAGCUCUGGGAUAACCCCGGGAACCGGAGCUAAUACCGGAUACGACCAGGAACGACAUCGUGCCUGGUGGAAAGUUUUUCGGUCUGAGGAUGGGCCCGCGGCCUAUCAGCUUGUUGGUGGGGUAAUGGCCUACCAAGGCGACGACGGGUAGCCGGCCUGAGAGGGCGAACGGCCACACUGGGACUGAGACACGGCCCAGACUCCUACGGGAGGCAGCAGUCGCGAACCAUUCACAAUGGACGCAAGUCUGAUGAUGCCCACGCCG
Molecule: ribosomal RNA, 371 nt
Filed under: uncultured bacterium
Lineage: Bacteria
Description: bacterial SSU rRNA
Rfam family: Bacterial small subunit ribosomal RNA
Source: RNAcentral